UACAGAGGGUGCAAACGUUGUUCGGAAUUACUGGGCGUAAAACGCGUGUAGGCGGCUAAGUAAGUCGGGCGUGAAAUCCCACGGCUCAACCGUGGAAGUGCACUCGAAACUGCAUAGCUAGAGUCCUGGAGAGGAAGGUGGAAUGCUUGGUGUAGAGGUGAAAUUCGUAGAUAUCAAGCGGAACACCGGUGGCGAAGGCGGCCUUCUGGACAGUGACUGACGCUGAGACGCGAAAGCGUGGGGAGCAAACAGG
This 253-nucleotide ribosomal RNA is filed under the name uncultured bacterium. RNAcentral describes it as "partial 16S ribosomal RNA". It matches the Rfam family "Bacterial small subunit ribosomal RNA", at positions 524 to 776 of the family's 1533-position model. The record is from RNAcentral.